This is a long non-coding RNA of Oncorhynchus tshawytscha (Chinook salmon), 387 nucleotides long. NCBI's taxonomy places the organism in Eukaryota, Metazoa, Chordata, Actinopteri, Salmoniformes, Salmonidae. The record is from Ensembl.
UUUCACGUUCCGUUUGUUGUUUUGUAUUAUUCGUUUGUUCAUUUUAUUAAAGAACAUGAGUAACCACCACGCUGCAUUUUGGUCCGCUCCUCUUUCAACAGACGAACGACGUUACAGCUGUCCUGAUAUCCAGAAGCUCUUUUUAUCACAAGAUACGGUUGCAGAAACAUUAUGCAUCUCCACAUGGGGUCCCGGCCCCUAGUUUGGGAACCGCUGAAUUAAAUGUAUUCAGCGCACGCAAGGGAACCAUACCUGCAAACCUGCAUAAGGAAAGACGACUGCUUCUCCUCCUCUCUAGCCCACCCUAGAAGUCGUAUGUGGAAGAAGAUUUAACAGAAAACAGAGGACAGAUUUAACAGAAAACAGAGGAAAAUAAAUAUUUAUUUU